UACAGAGGUGGCAAGCGUUGUUCGGAAUUACUGGGCGUAAAGGGCGCGUAGGCGGCCAUCUAAGUCAGACGUGAAAUCCCCCGGCUUAACCUGGGAACUGCGUCUGAUACUGGACGGCUUGAGUGCGGGAGAGGGAUGUGGAAUUCCAGGUGUAGCGGUGGAAUGCGCAGAUAUCAGGAGGAACACCGAUGGCGAAGGCAGGUCUCUGGGCCACUACUGACGCUGAGAAGCGAAAGCAUGGGGAGCGAACAGG
Molecule: ribosomal RNA, 253 nt
Filed under: uncultured bacterium
Lineage: Bacteria
Description: partial 16S ribosomal RNA
Rfam family: Bacterial small subunit ribosomal RNA
Source: RNAcentral